ACAGCGGAUGACGGGAGCUUGCUCCUUGAUUCAGCGGCGGACGGGUGAGUUAAUGCCUAGGAAUCUGCCUGGUAGUGGGGGACAACGUUUCGAAAGGAACGCUAAUACCGCAUACGUCCUACGGGAGAAAGCAGGGGACCUUCGGGCCUUGCGCUAUCAGAUGAGCUUAGGUCGGAUUAGCUAGUUGGUGAGGUAAUGGCUCACCAAGGCGACGAUCCGUAACUGGUCUGAGAGGAUGAUCAGUCACACUGGAACUNAGACACGGUCCAGACUCCUACGGGAGGCAGCAGGGGGGAAUAUUGGAAAUGGGCGANAGCCUGAUAGGGCCUUGCCGCGUGUGUGAGAAGGUUUUCUGAUGUAGAGCUUCUG
Molecule: ribosomal RNA, 369 nt
Filed under: Pseudomonas plecoglossicida
Lineage: Bacteria; Pseudomonadati; Pseudomonadota; Gammaproteobacteria; Pseudomonadales; Pseudomonadaceae
Description: bacterial SSU rRNA
Rfam family: Bacterial small subunit ribosomal RNA
Source: RNAcentral